GACGAACGCUGGCGGCGUGCUUAACACAUGCAAGUCGAACGGAAAGGCCCUGCUUUUGUGGGGUGCUCGAGUGGCGAACGGGUGAGUAACACGUGAGUAACCUGCCCUUGACUUUGGGAUAACUUCAGGAGGCUGGGGCUAAUACCGGAUAGGAGCUCCUGCUGCAUGGGGGGGGUUGGAAAGUUUCGGCGGUUGGGGAUGGACGCGCGGCUUAUCAGCUUGUUGGUGGGGUAGUGGCUUACCAAGGCUUUGACGGGUAGCCGGCCUGAGAGGGUGGCCGGCCACAUUGGGACUGCGAUACGGCCCAGAGUCCUACGUGGGGCAGAAGUGGGGAAUAUUGCACAAUGGGCGGAAGCCUGAUGCAGCAACGCCGCGUGCGGGAUGACGGCCUUCGGGUUGGAAACCGCUUUCGCCUGUGACGAAGCGUGAGUGACGGUAAUGGGUAAAGAAGCACCGGCUAACUACGUG
This 468-nucleotide ribosomal RNA is filed under the name uncultured bacterium. RNAcentral describes it as "partial 16S ribosomal RNA". It matches the Rfam family "Bacterial small subunit ribosomal RNA", at positions 28 to 507 of the family's 1533-position model. The record is from RNAcentral.